Molecule: long non-coding RNA, 4265 nt
Organism: Bos taurus (domestic cattle)
Lineage: Eukaryota; Metazoa; Chordata; Mammalia; Artiodactyla; Bovidae
Source: Ensembl
AAGAAAAUUCCAUGCUGGUAAAGAAAUGUUCAGAUUUUUUUUUUUUCAAUUAUAGCUGAUGCUUUUUCUUCUUUAUACUCUUCUGAAAUGUCCCUGUUUUCUGUAAUGAGCAUAUAUUGCUUCUACAGUAAGGGAAAAAGUGAUCUAGUCCUCAGAACUCCAUUCAAAAACCUCUUGGGUUAAAUGAGCUUAAAUCCUUGUGACAAAUCUGCUAGAAAAACCUUUUCAGCCUUUGAGAUUCUUAUUGACCAGGAGCUAGAAGACACCUCCCAGGAGUAAGAGAUUGGAUGUCUCUCUCAGGACAGUCUUUUGCUCCCAGUGCUCUGGAGUCUUGGAGAGGGAGUUUUCAUUUGCUGGUCUCAGCUCUCCCUGGCUGCUUUGAGUUUGGAAAUGCAUAUUCUUCAGUCCCUUGGGGAAAUUUACUUGAAUUAUUCAUUUAAUUAUUCCUCACUUCUAAAACAAACACACAUGUACCCCACCUGUGUUUUCUCUCUUUCUGGAACUUUCAUUAGGAAAACGUCGAGCUUCCUGAACUGAUGCCAUCAUUUUGCAACCUGUCCUCUCCUCCUCUGCCGUCCUCUUUCUCAGCAUUUUGCUUUCUGGGAGAUCUUGCUGACAAUCCUUUCAUUGAGUUUUUAAAUUCCUGCUUUUAUAAUUUUAAUUUCCAAGAACCCUUUUUUAUUCUUUCAAUGUCCAUUUUAAAAAUAGCAACUGAGUCUUAUUUCACAGAAGUAAUGUCCUCUCUGAUCUAAGUCAUACACUCUGCACAGGGGCAGUAUUGUCUCCCAAAGGAGUAAAAAUCAGUGUUGGUUAAAAAUGUUAGAUAUUGCAACAAUUUGUGUCUCUCCAAAAUGCAAUACUUUUUAUAUUGUUCAUGGAAUUCUCAAGGCAAGAAUACUGAAGUGGUUUGCCAUUCCCUUCUCCAGUGAACCACAUUCUGUCAGACCUCUCCACCAAGACCCGUCUAUCUUAGGUGGCCCCACACAGCAUGACUCAUAGUUUCAUUGAGUUAGACAAGGCUGUGGUCCAUGUGAUCAGACUGGUUAGUUUUCUGUGAUUAUUGUUUUCUCAACCCUAUUUGACAAAAUCAUAUUCUUCAAUAUUUAAUUUUUCAUUGGGAAAAAAUAAGUUUUGAUUCUAAUUUUUCUCCUUAGAGGUGAGGUUUUCCAUCUCCCUGUAUAGGCUCUGUAUUAGUCUGGAUUCUCUGGAGAAAGCGAACCAAUAUAUAUAAUAUAUAUUGUAUGUAUAAUAAUAUAUAUAUUUAUAAUUAUAUAAAUAUAUAAUAUUUAUUUGAUCAGUGUUUUAUUAUAAUUUUGUUAUUUGAUUUUAUCCACACAGUUAGAUGUUCUUUGUCUUCUCAAACAAGUGAAGACAUUUAACAGACAGACAAAUGGAUGGAUUUGGGGGGUUUAUUAAGGAUAAUAUAAACUGUUAGCAAAACAAAUAAGUGUCUGCCAUUGAAGACGGAAAAACAGGAGGGGAAUAGAGGAAUUCACGACAAAGCAAAGAGAUGGGCAAUUUAAAAAUAAAUGAGAGAGAGAGGUUGGUUUACUGUAAGGAGUUGGCUUACACAGUUAUGGAGGCUGGGAAGUCCAGGAUCUACAGUUUUCAAGCUGGGGGCCUCGGGGAGCAGACAGGAUAAUUUCAGUCUGCGUCUGACAGCCUGAGAAGCAAGACUGUUGAUGUUUAAGUUCAAGUCUGAGUCUGAAAGCGGGAGAAGACCAAUGACCCAGAUACAGACAGGCAAAGAAUUCUUUCUUACUCAGGCUUUCAUUCUGCGCAGGCCCUCAGCAGAUUGGGUGAGGCCUGCCCACACGGGGAGGGCAAUCUGCUCGACUCAGCCUACUGAUUCAAACGUUGGCCUCAUCCAGAAACACCCUCACAGACACACUCAGAAAUAAUAUCUAACCUAUCUGGAUGUUCAGAGGCCCAGUCAUCACCCUCCAUUUACUUUUUUUUUUCCUUUCCUGUUUUGGUCUCUACCUUUAGAGGCUUUCCUCAGAUUUGUGGUGAUCCUUGGUUUUCCAUUCGUAUUUUAAAACAGGGAGCUAAAAACCUGCUGAGAACUUUGAGCAUCAGGGGGAGUUGACGAUGUGGGCUUCUCUGUAUGGCAAGCCACCUGUUGCCUUAUGUAACCCACGUUUUUGUAUCUUUAGGUCUCUCCAGAAAGUAUCUUCCAGUAUGUGCCUAGAAGAUACCGUCCUAGCUACCCGUGGUCUGGGAGCCAAGCCAGUGAGGAGUGGGGCGGAUCUCAGCCCUCAGUCCCCUGUGAGAAUCUCUAGCAUCGUCCUGUCUUCAGGCCGGUGCCCCAUCCCCACGGCUGCUGCUGUGCCUUUAUCCAGAGACUUGUGUUUUCAGCCGUUUAGUCUUGUUGGGGGCUUGGGGCCGUGCAGUGGUCUGGCUGUGUGAACAUGGGGAAGGGUUGGGGUUAGAGACACUCUCUAGUGACUAUCACCCAGUCCUUCUGUUUUCAGUCCCGUCUGCACCCACACUUCUGGAAACAGCUGGUACCACCAAGUACAGGCCACAGAGCCUGUGGGAGUCCUCAGCGCAGGCCGAGCUGCUCCUUGCCUUUCCUCACCCUGGGCCUCAGAUUCAGCGUGUCAUCUACGAGUCAGCGGUUACUCAUCCUUCAGUGUUCAAGCCCCGCCACGUUUUGUCGUCUCUGUGUGGUCUUGUGCGGUACAGGGUCCUUUUGCCGUCAUUUAGACGGGUUUCCAGGAGGAGCUGGAGGAAGUGCCUGUGUGUAGUCUGCACGUGGGGACUGACUGACUCGUGGGCUGGGAAGGAAAAGGUAGCACAUGGGUCGGUGGACGGGUUGAGCAGGAGGCAGAUGGCAUGCUGGCCGAGGGUGAAGGGCCUGGCAGACCUGGAGGGGCAGAGACUAGGCGGGGGAGCUGAACCUCGUGGCGCAGCCUUAGAACUUAGGAGAGCUCCAUUCAAGGUACUGCCUCGGCAGAGUCCAAAGGUGUUGCUGAAUCAGGAUCAGAAAGCGGCUUCAAGCCGUAUCCAAGAGAGUGCAUCAAGGACCUUAGAAAUAGCUGUAAUCUUAUUCAAUUAACUUCAUUUGUAGAAUUCUUCCUGAGAAGAGAAAGUAUAGAAUAUACAUAUAAUACAUAUACUUUCCUAAUAAAAGUUACUAUAUAUACAUAGUAUUACUGUAUAUACGGUAUAUAUAAUAUACAGGCUAUUAUAUAUAGGCUUAUUUCACUUAGUAUAAUGUCCUCAAGCUUCAUCCAUGUUGUAGCAUGUGACAGAACUUCCUUCCUACUUAAGGAAAUAAAAUAAAAUUCCAUUUUAUGUAUAUACCACACUUUGUUCAUCUAUCUAUUGUUAUUCUGGUUCAGUCACUAAGUCAUGUCCGACUCUUUGUGACCUCAUAGACUGCAGCCUGGGUGUAGACUGUUUCUAAAAUUUAUAAUCUCUAAUAUUAUAAAAAUGCUGCUAAUGAAUGUCUUUGUGGAAAAAGUCUCUAUAUAUUAUUUAUAUAAUAUAUAUACUUCCUCUUGCUUUUGCAGAUGCCGUUGUGCCGAAGCACAGCCGCCCCCAAGGACAUAUUGUUUGCGUCUUUUUCCUGCGGUAACAGCAGAGUCUAUCGCCAACAAAGCCUAAAAUAUCUACUAUCUGGUCCUUUAAGAAACAGUUUGCUGACUUCUGAUCUGAAUGACUAGUAGAAGAAUGGUUAAGCCAGUUAAGGGGCAUCACCCCAGUUUACCAGCUAUUUUUUAACUGGUAAAGAAAAAAACCCCAAAUGUACUAUGUUAACCAUUUUUAAGUGUACAGUUCAAUAGUGUUACCCAUACUCACAUUGUUGUGAAAUAGAGCUUCAUCUUGCAAAACCGAAACUCUCUACCCAUUAAAUAUCAUUGCCCUUUCCCCAGCCUUGUAUCCUGCUCUCUGUUGCUAUGAAUUUGAAUACUUUAGAUACCUCAGAUGAGUGGAACCAUACAAGUUUUAUCUCUUUGUGCCUGCCUUAUCUCACUUAGCGUAAUGCCCUCAAGCUUCAUCCAUGUUGUAGCAUGCGACAGAACUUCCUUCCCACUUAAGGAAGGAAAUAAAAUUAGAAUUCCGUCUUAUGUAUAUACCGUACUUUGUUCAUCAGUCAACAGGUAUUUGGGCUGCUUCUGCCUUUGGUUGUUGUGAGUAAUGCUGUUGUGAACAUGGUGUACAAAUAUUUCUGUGAGACCCUGCUUUUAAUUCUUUGGCUAUAAAUUCAGAAGUAGAAUGGCUGGAUCAUACGGUAGUUCUAUUUUUAAGUUUCUGAG